Small nuclear RNA from Accipiter nisus (Eurasian sparrowhawk), 161 nucleotides. Its record names the gene U1. It matches the Rfam family "U1 spliceosomal RNA". From Rfam's summary of the family: U1 is a small nuclear RNA (snRNA) component of the spliceosome (involved in pre-mRNA splicing). Its 5' end forms complementary base pairs with the 5' splice junction, thus defining the 5' donor site of an intron. Lineage: Eukaryota; Metazoa; Chordata; Aves; Accipitriformes; Accipitridae. The record is from Ensembl.
CUACUUACCCAACAGGGGAUCAACAGACUGAGAUCAAUAACGUGGCCUUCCUGGGUAAGGAUAUUCUUUGCAUUCCAGGUAUGCUGACUCUUGUGAUUUCCCUGAAUGUAGAGAAGCUGACUGCAUAAUUUGUAGUGAAAGACUGUAUUUACACCUUUAAA